This 374-nucleotide ribosomal RNA is filed under the name Acaulospora dilatata. RNAcentral describes it as "partial large subunit ribosomal RNA". The record is from RNAcentral. Lineage: Eukaryota; Fungi; Glomeromycota; Glomeromycetes; Diversisporales; Acaulosporaceae.
AGAGUUAAAUAGUACGUGAAAUUGUUGAAAGGGAAACGAUUAAAGUCAGUCAUGUUGGUAGGGAAUCAACUUGAUAGUAUGCGGGUUUACUCGUGUCCUUUCUGGUGCACUUCCUUACUUGCAGGUUAGCAUCAAUUUCGGUUUUCAUAUAAAAAUUGAGGGAAGGUGGCUUUUCUUCGGAAAAGUGUUAUAGACCUCGAUAAAUGUGGUGACCGGGAUUGAGGAUUGCAGCGGAUACCCUUUGGGCUAGUCACCUGGCUUCUGAUGGUUGCCCCGUCUUCGAUAGCUUGCUAACGUUGGUGGGAUUCGAUUAUCUAGAUGUUGGAGUGAUCAUAAAUUCGCUAAGGAUGCUGACGUAAUGGCUUUAAACGACC